This 253-nucleotide ribosomal RNA is filed under the name uncultured bacterium. RNAcentral describes it as "partial 16S ribosomal RNA". It matches the Rfam family "Bacterial small subunit ribosomal RNA", at positions 524 to 776 of the family's 1533-position model. The record is from RNAcentral.
UACGUAGGGGGCAAGCGUUGUCCGGAUUCAUUGGGCGUAAAGAGCGUGUAGGCGGCCAGGUAGGUCCGUUGUGAAAACCCGGGGCUCAACCCCGGGCGUGCGGUGGAUACUGCCAGGCUAGAGGAUGGUAGAGGCGAGUGGAAUUCCCGGUGUAGUGGUGAAAUGCGCAGAUAUCGGGAGGAACACCAGUAGCGAAGGCGGCUCGCUGGGCCAUUCCUGACGCUGAGACGCGAAAGCUAGGGGAGCGAACAGG